AGCAGCCGCGGUAAUUCCAGCUCCAAUAGCGUAUAUUAAAGUUGUUGCAGUUAAAAAGCUCGUAGUUGAAUUUCGGGAUUGACGUGAUGGUCGUGCCUUAAGGGGUAUGAACUGUUGCUGUUGAUUUCUCACCUUCUGGAGAAACUUGAUGUCCUUAAUUGGGUGUCUUGCGGAUCCAGGACCUUUACCUUGAAAAAAUUAGAGUGUUUAAAGCAGGCAUUUUGCUCGAAUACAUUAGCAUGGAAUAAUAGAAUAGGACGGCAUGGUUCUAUUUUGUUGGUUUCUAGGAUCACCGUAAUGAUUAAUAGGGAUAGUUGGGGGCAUUAGUAUUCAAUUGUCAGAGGUGAAAUUCUUGGAUUUAUUGAAGACUAACUACUGCGAAAGCAUUUGCCAAGGAUGUUUUCAUUAAUCAAGAACGAAAGUUAGGGGAUCGAAGACGAUCAGAUACCGUCGUAGUCUUAACCAUAAACUAUGCCGACUAGGAAUCAGACGAUGUUAAUUUUUUAAUGACUCGUUUGGC
This 520-nucleotide unclassified non-coding RNA is filed under the name uncultured Glomus. Its description in RNAcentral is "SSU rRNA". It matches the Rfam family "Eukaryotic small subunit ribosomal RNA", at positions 569 to 1084 of the family's 1831-position model. RNAcentral also lists the same sequence under 1 other name. Lineage: Eukaryota; Fungi; Glomeromycota; Glomeromycetes; Glomerales; Glomeraceae. The record is from RNAcentral.